GGAUGAACGCUGGCGGCGUGCCUAAUACAUGCAAGUCGAGCGAAUGGAUUAAGAGCUUGCUCUUAUGAAGUUAGCGGCGGACGGGUGAGUAACACGUGGGUAACCUGCCCAUAAGACUGGGAUAACUCCGGGAAACCGGGGCUAAUACCGGAUAACAUUUUGAACUGCAUGGUUCAAAAUUGAAAGGCGGCUUCGGCUGUCACUUAUGGAUGGACCCGCGUCGCAUUAGCUAGUUGGUGAGGUAACGGCUCACCAAGGCAACGAUGCGUAGCCGACCUGAGAGGGUGAUCGGCCACACUGGGACUGAGACACGGCCCAGACUCCUACGGGAGGCAGCAGUAGGGAAUUUUCCGCAAUGGACGAAAGUCUGACGGAGCAACGCCGCGUGAGUGAUGAAGGCUUUCGGGUCGUAAAACUCUGUUGUUAGGGAAGAACAAGUGCUAGUUGAAUAAGCUGGCACCUUGACGGUACCUAACCAGAAAGCCACGGCUAACUACGUGCCAGCAGCCGCGGUAAUACGUAGGUGGCAAGCGUUAUCCGGAAUUAUUGGGCGUAAAGCGCGCGCAGGUGGUUUCUUAAGUCUGAUGUGAAAGCCCACGGCUCAACCGUGGAGGGUCAUUGGAAACUGGGAGACUUGAGUGCAGAAGAGGAAAGUGGAAUUCCAUGUGUAGCGGUGAAAUGCGUAGAGAUAUGGAGGAACACCAGUGGCGAAGCGACUUUCUGGUCUGUAACUGACACUGAGGCGCGAAAGCGUGGGGAGCAAACAGGAAUAGAUACCCUGGGUAGUCCACGCCGUAACGAUGAGUGCUAAAGUGUUAGAGGGUUUCCGCCCCUUUAGUGCUGAGUUAACGCAUUAAGCAUUCCGCCCGGGGAGUACGGGCCGCAAGGCUGACCUCAAG
RNAcentral lists this ribosomal RNA (899 nucleotides) under uncultured Bacillus sp. Its description in RNAcentral is "bacterial SSU rRNA". It matches the Rfam family "Bacterial small subunit ribosomal RNA", at positions 27 to 905 of the family's 1533-position model. Lineage: Bacteria; Bacillati; Bacillota; Bacilli; Caryophanales; Bacillaceae. The record is from RNAcentral.